RNAcentral lists this ribosomal RNA (467 nucleotides) under uncultured bacterium. Its description in RNAcentral is "partial 16S ribosomal RNA". It matches the Rfam family "Bacterial small subunit ribosomal RNA", at positions 28 to 507 of the family's 1533-position model. The record is from RNAcentral.
GAUGAACGCUGGCGGCGUGCUUAACACAUGCCAGUCGAACGGAAAGGCCCAAGCUUGCUUGGGUACUCGAGUGGCGGACGGGUGAGUAACACGUGGGUGAUCUGCCCUGCACUUCGGGAUAAGCCUGGGAAACUGGGUCUAAUACCGGAUAGGACCACUUCUUGGAUGUUGUGGUGGAAAGUUUUUUCGGUGUGGGAUGAGCUCGCGGCCUAUCAGCUUGUUGGUGGGGUAAUGGCCUACCAAGGCGUCGACGGGUAGCCGGCCUGAGAGGGUGUACGGCCACAUUGGGACUGAGAUACGGCCCAGACUCCUACGGGAGGCAGCAGUGGGGAAUAUUGCACAAUGGGCGCGAGCCUGAUGCAGCGACGCCGCGUGGGGGAUGACGGCCUUCGGGUUGUAAACUCCUUUCGCUAGGGACGAAGCGUUUUGUGACGGUACCUGGAGAAGAAGCACCGGCUAACUACGUG